AUUUAUGUCUUUGCCUUCCUGCUUUUCACGAGGUGUUGCGUUUAACGAGCUCAGUUUACUGGCAAAACAAAACACCCGACUUGGGAUAAUUUGGCUGUGAAAUUGAUUCACAGCCGCUUUAUUUAAAAUCUCGUCAUUUAAUUAGAAAUAUCAUAAAAUCAUUAAAAUUGAUAAUUUCAGUUAAUAACUUGAGUCUGUUAAUGUUCAUUGCCAGUAAAGGUGGCAGGACUACACGCCAAUUAGGCAAAAAAGGUAUAAUAAUGAUAUGUACAAGAAAAGACAACAAACUAAAAUACAAAGCGGCAGGCCAGCGGGGGGAGGUGGGAAGAAAAUUCGUAUGUCUUCACUCGAUCACGAGAAAGGUUGAAUUGAGAAGUGAAUAACUUUGCUUUGCUUUUAGUAGCUAAAAUUUGGCCUUGACUUAAUGUUUCUUACGUAGGUAAAAGCACCGGAAUUUCCUUCUCCGCCAAGUCCCACCUUAAUCUGCCACAAUCCACUCUAACUAUUUCCUACUUUUAUCUUAUCACUAUAAUUCAGGCUUGACAUAAAAAACCAUAUUUCCGUAGGAAAUAUUUUUAUUUAUGUCUUUGCCUUCCUGCUUUUCACGAGGUGUUGCGUUUAACGAGCUCAGUUUACUGGCAAAACAAAACACCCGACUUGGGAUAAUUUGGCUGUGAAAUUGAUUCACAGCCGCUUUAUUUAAAAUCUCGUCAUUUAAUUAGAAAUAUCAUAAAAUCAUUAAAAUUGAUAAUUUCAGUUAAUAACUUGUUAAUGUUCAUUGCCAGUAAAGGUGGCAGGACUACACGCCAAAGACUACGCCAUUGAAGUCAGUCGAACGUAAAUCGCGGAGUCUCCCCACCCGAGGAAAACGCAACACCACUAGCAAACAGCAUUUAAUUAUUAUAAUGUUUUAUAGCGAGCCAAAAUACACCGCAGUAACCCCUGUUAACUGUAGUGUAGGCCGAUCGAAAGCAGUCGCCUCUGCGAAACCAUUAUGAGUAAUAGCAGAAUGUUGUAAAUAGAGCCCUUCAAUACUAAACAUCUAACAGUCGCCCCUGCUGACUGUUGUUAACACAACCACUAAACAUUUAACAGUCGCCCCUGCUAACUGUUGUUCACACACAGAAAGGAAUAAAAUAGUCAGAAAUAACAGUUUAAUUUAAGUGAAUAAUUACUAAUGAACAUUAAUAUACCUGGUGAUCAAGAAGAGAUGUCCGCCCCUGCUAGACAGGCCCUCUGGACCACCAAAUAUACUAUGCAACGGACCAAGCGACAACACCCCGCGACAUUGUCGCCCGGUUUGGAAGGAUUGUGUUACUCAGAUAAUGAAGCAGUCGUUGAAAGAGAUGAAACUCGAAUAUACUUUUGAAAUGCAUUCGUUUUCCACCGACCUAGAAGACGAAUCUGUGCAUCGGACAAACCAUUCUCAGCAGCGAAAGAUGCUGCACCGAUUCGAAACGAAUGUGAUUUGUAAUGCGACGGACUUGGGUCACAGUAUUUGAGGCAAGCAACAAGGUUAGCGGUAAAAACUUUUCUCGGCACCGCGACGCCCUCCACUGUCAUAAAUACUGGACCCGGACUACAGCCACGAUGAUUUAAAUAUGUUGAUAAUAAUUGUACAGGGCAAGCGCUUGUUUGCCGGUUGAUGACCAUAGUAAAUGGUCGCUGAUUGUAGUUAUGCUUGUAAUCAGCAAAUAGUAAUUUGUAACCAAUCACUUCACCAUCUCUUGAGAGUUUGGUGAGCUGGUUUAACUGUAUAGGGCAAUUGCCCGGCUGUGAUGUUGCGGUGAUCUCACCCACGCGCAAAAAUGCGAAGAAUGCUAGAGCACACAUCGCACGAAAUUGGCACUGGUCGUAGUACGUAGCGACACAGUGUGGCACAGCCAUUACUAAUCGAUUUAAAAUCGUUAGCGUAAUAGGCAACCUAGCGUCCAAACGAAAACCCUGUUUGCCAUAGCCUUUCAACAUUUGCACAAUGUAAAAUAUUUUAGUGGGAUCCAUCAAUCCCAUUAAUUUGUGGGAAUAGCCGAGAGCCGAGACGUAGGUGUUGACAGUAGAGGGGGCGUAGCGCCGGUCAAACAUGUAGGCGAUAAAAAGUGCUAAUGUAGGAGGCGAAAUUGGUAAUUUAUAUGAAAAUGUUUGAAACACAUGAGAAUGAAAUUGGUCAAAAAGUUUCCAAGCGCGUCGGUAAGUCGGAAUUGAGGAUGGCUGGAGGCUCGAUUGUGUCAAGUGGGAAACGAUAUUUCCCAAUUCGCUGGCAACAGAUGCCGCGGAAUGUCCGUUGCACAGGAAUUCAUCGAGGCUGGUGCUUCGCGUUUGAAGGUUUGAACCUGAAAUCGAGACAAAAGAUCAGCCAGGCGAUUGUACGUCCCAGGAAUGUGUUUGGCUUUAAAUAAAAUAUUGUGGUUUAAACAAACAAGAACAAGCUUGCGAACAAAAAACAUCAAUGCCUUGUCCUUGCAUGAUUGCUUAUUAAUGACAUGAACGAGUGCUUCAUUAUCAGUAAAAAAUAAAAUGCUAUGAUUCGCCAUCUUAUGACCCCAUAAAUACAGACUCAGUACAAUGGGGUAGAAUUCCAAAAUGGCAAUGUUACGGUGGCGCCAGUGAUCGGGCCAGAAACCGUGGCAGAAUUCCGUGCCAAAAAUUGCACCAAAACCGAUGCCACCCGCGGCGUCCGUGAACAAAUUAAG
RNAcentral lists this long non-coding RNA (2690 nucleotides) under Paramuricea clavata. The record is from RNAcentral. Lineage: Eukaryota; Metazoa; Cnidaria; Anthozoa; Malacalcyonacea; Plexauridae.